AACACUUUUUCAUUUUCCAAAAGUCUCUCUUCCUCUCAAUUUCCUCACUAGUCUCUAGCAUCACAACCUUGAUUCAUCAUCUGAAUUUUCUCUUCUUCUUGUUUCAGCCAGCAGAAUUGGGACCAGUUCAGAAUCCCUCAUCCAAGUUGAGCAUCCAUCACCUUCUCGUUGAAUAGAGGUUUCGUGGUCUCACUGUUUGAGGUGGUGUUUCACCAAGCUUUAAUCAGAAAAAGAGAAAGAUGCAGGUGAAGAUACUCCUCUCCUAGAUAGGAGUUGACAGUAGUAUGGCGCUUUGACAGUAGUUCUUGUUGUGAUUUGUAAAAGGGGACCUUUGUUGGUCUGUUCCUGGUAUAGUGUGCUUGUAGCUGGUAUUUCCCUAUGGU
This is a long non-coding RNA of Vigna unguiculata (cowpea), 383 nucleotides long. The record is from RefSeq and is a predicted model, not a curated record. Lineage: Eukaryota; Viridiplantae; Streptophyta; Magnoliopsida; Fabales; Fabaceae.